RNAcentral lists this ribosomal RNA (235 nucleotides) under uncultured Staphylococcus sp. RNAcentral's name for it is "partial 16S ribosomal RNA". It matches the Rfam family "Bacterial small subunit ribosomal RNA", at positions 106 to 334 of the family's 1533-position model. The record is from RNAcentral. Lineage: Bacteria; Bacillati; Bacillota; Bacilli; Caryophanales; Staphylococcaceae.
GUGGUAGUAACACGUGGAUAACCUACCUAUAAGACUGGGAUAACUUCGGGAAACCGGAGCUAAUACCGGAUAAUAUAUUGAACCGCAUGGUUCAAUAGUGAAAGACGGUUUUGCUGUCACUUAUAGAUGGAUCCGCGCCGCAUUAGCUAGUUGGUAAGGUAACGGCUUACCAAGGCAACGAUGCGUAGCCGACCUGAGAGGGUGAUCGGCCACACUGGAACUGAGACACGGUCAG